CAGUCGCCGCGGGAAUACGUAGGGUGCAAGCGUUAAUCGGAAUUACUGGGCGUAAAGCGUGCGCAGGCGGUUUGUUAAGACAGAUGUGAAAUCCCCGGGCUCAACCUGGGAACUGCAUUUGUGACUGGCAGGCUAGAGUAUGGCAGAGGGGGUGGAAUUCCGCGUGUAGCAGUGAAAUGCGUAGAUAUGCGGAGGAACACCGAUGGCGAAGGCAGCCCCCUGGGCCAAUACUGACGCUCAUGCACGAAAGCGUGGGGAGCAAACAGGAUUAGAUACCCGCGUAGUCCCUGUCUCUUAUACC
This 301-nucleotide ribosomal RNA is filed under the name uncultured bacterium. RNAcentral's name for it is "partial 16S ribosomal RNA". It matches the Rfam family "Bacterial small subunit ribosomal RNA", at positions 509 to 808 of the family's 1533-position model. The record is from RNAcentral.